This is a long non-coding RNA of Armigeres subalbatus, 813 nucleotides long. RefSeq lists it as uncharacterized. The record is from RefSeq and is a predicted model, not a curated record. NCBI's taxonomy places the organism in Eukaryota, Metazoa, Arthropoda, Insecta, Diptera, Culicidae. The transcript has 3 exons.
ACGAAAAAAAGAAAUCAAACAGGAAUGGAGUGUGGAGCAGGUGUUUUUCAUUGUAAGGUUCUGGUAAACAGAGACGUAAUUUAACAUCGUCUCUGCCGGUAACGAGUAAGCGGGGAAUAAUUGGCCGCAGUGCCGUGUAAUAAUGAACUGUGAAACCAAUGUCUAAAACCUGCUGCUCGCCGCUUCCAUUGAUUGAAUGUCCUACGACGGCCGUCGUUGACUGUUUCCGAGAGUGAAUGAUACCUACGGAUAUCUUAGAUCUCUGCGGUACAGAUACGGUUACCUGCGACCUAACUGAAACAAAAAUGUAGAGUGGAUAGGUGCCACCAGCAGGGACUAAUACAUAGUUCCUAGUUAGUUCCUGCCACCAGUGUCCCAAUCCAGCCCAAAUUAACAUCCCAGCUAAUAACAGCAGAGCAGUUAUAACGUGCUCAUCGAGUACAGUGAUUGUUCGCUAAUUGGGGCACGACCUCACCCCAACUAGCGAAUGUCGUGCGCUAAUCGGGGUGGUUUGACAAGCGUCAAUGUUGUUUACUUUUUGCAUUGAACAAAAGAAAAUUUUACGCGCCAGAAAAUAUCGAUCCCGCCAAACACGGAAACAAAACGUCAACGCGUUUUUGACAUCACAUUCUGACGUUUAGCUGCUUUUUAAUUGGGUUUCGCCCCAAUUAGCGAACCCCCAACUAAAAAGCGCCCCAACUAUAAAAACCCCAAUUAGCGAACGUUCACUGUAUUACAUAUGAUCAACAAUAUUUUUUAACAAAUCUUAUUUAAAGUGAAUGAAAAAAAAAAAUGUCACUAGAAAAAUCAAAA